UGAGCCUGCGAGUUGUGGUGUCUGGCAAGGUGAAGCAAACGCGAAGCCGUAGCGAAAGCGAGUCUGAAUAGGGCGCUUAGUCAGAUGCUGCAGCCCCGAAUCGAAGUGAUCUAUCCAUGAGCAAGUUGAAGCUAGUGUAAGACCUAGUGGAGGACUGAACCCAUAGGCGUUGAACAGCCCCGGGAUGACUUGUGGAUAGGGGUGAAAGGCCAAUCAAACUUCGUGAUACCUGGUUCUCUCCGAAAUAUAUUUAGGUAUAGCGUUGUGU
RNAcentral lists this ribosomal RNA (268 nucleotides) under Campylobacter coli. RNAcentral's name for it is "partial 23S ribosomal RNA". It matches the Rfam family "Bacterial large subunit ribosomal RNA", at positions 616 to 887 of the family's 2925-position model. The record is from RNAcentral. Lineage: Bacteria; Pseudomonadati; Campylobacterota; Epsilonproteobacteria; Campylobacterales; Campylobacteraceae.